This 1456-nucleotide ribosomal RNA is filed under the name uncultured organism. Its description in RNAcentral is "bacterial SSU rRNA". It matches the Rfam family "Bacterial small subunit ribosomal RNA". The record is from RNAcentral.
CCUGGCUCAGAUUGAACGCUGGCGGCAUGGCUAAAACAUGCAAGUCGAACGCGAACGCUCCUUCGGGAGCUAGUAGAGUGGCGAAAGGGCGAGUAAUGCAUUCCUAACGUACCCUUGGGUCGGGAAUAGGCCGGGGAAACCCGGAUUAAUACCCGAUAACCCCGUCUGGUCGCAUGGCCGGACGGGCAAAGGCUUGCUGCCCUUGGCGCGGGGAAUGUCCUAUCAGGUUGUUGGUGGGGUAACGGCUCACCAAGCCAAAGACGGGUAGCGGGUGUGAGAGCACGGCCCGCCGCAUCGGGACUGAGACACUGCCCGGACUCCUACGGGAGGCUGCAGUAACGAAUAUUCCGCAAUGCGCGAAAGCGUGACGGAGCAAUGCCGCGUGCAGGAUGAAGCCCCUCGGGGUGUAAACUGCUGUCAGGAGUCAGCAACCCAAUGAGCAACUCCAGAGGAAGGACCGGCUAACUUCGUGCCAGCAGCCGCGGUAAUACGAAGGGUCCAAGCGUUAAUCGGAAUCACUGGGCUUAAAGGGUGCGUAGGCGGACUGGCCAGUGCCUUGUGAAAUCCCACGGCUCAACCGUGGAAUUGCUCGGCAUACUGCCAGUCUUGAGGUCGGUAGAGGGUGCCGGAACUCUAGGUGGAGCGGUGAAAUGCGUAGAUAUCUAGAGGAACGUCAAAGGCGAAGGCAGGCACCUGGUCCGAUUCUGACGCUGAGGCACGAAAGCGUGGGGAGCGGACGGGAUUAGAUACCCCGGUAGUCCACGCCCUAAACUAUGUGCACUAGAUUGUGGGGGUUUUGACGCCCGCACAAUCGAAGCUAAAGUGAUUAGUGCACCGCCUGGGGAGUACGGUCGCAAGGCUAAAACUCAAAGGAAUUGACGGGGGCUCACACAAGCGGUGGAGCAUGUGGCUUAAUUCGAAGCUACGCGAAGAACCUUAUCCAGGGUUUGACAUGUACGGAUUAGCUCGGCGAAAGUCGAGUGACGCUCUUUGAGUGGAACGUACACAGGUGCUGCAUGGCUGUCGUCAGCUCGUGCUGUGAAGUGUCGGGUUAAGUCCCUUAACGAGCGAAACCCCUACCACUAGUUACCAGCGGACCUUCGGGUGCCGGGGACUCUAGCGGGACUGCCGGUGUCAAACCGGAGGAAGGUGGGGACGACGUCAAGUCCUCAUGGCCUUUAUGCCCUGGGCUGCACACGUGCUACAAUGGUAACUACAGAGCGAAGCGAUACCGCAAGGUGGAGCAAAUCGCAAAAAAGUUGCCCCAGUUCGGAUUGUGGUCUGCAACUCGACCACAUGAAGUUGGAAUCGCUAGUAAUCGCGUAUCAGCAAUGACGCGGUGAUACGUUCCUGAGCCUUGUACACACCGCCCGUCAAGUCAUGGAAGCCGGGAGUGCCCGAAGUCGCCUCAAAUCAGAGGUGCAUACGGCAAGCUCGCUGACUGGGACUAAGUCGU